RNAcentral lists this ribosomal RNA (607 nucleotides) under Filobasidium magnum. RNAcentral's name for it is "partial large subunit ribosomal RNA". It matches the Rfam family "Eukaryotic large subunit ribosomal RNA", at positions 73 to 664 of the family's 3401-position model. Lineage: Eukaryota; Fungi; Basidiomycota; Tremellomycetes; Filobasidiales; Filobasidiaceae. The record is from RNAcentral.
GCCCCUAGUAACGGCGAGUGAAGCGGGAAGAGCUCAAAUUUGAAAUCUGGUGGCCUCAGGUCAUCCGAGUUGUAAUCUAUAGAAGUGUUUUCCGUGCUGGCUCAUGUACAAGUCCCUUGGAACAGGGCGUCAUAGAGGGUGAGAAUCCCGUCCUUGACAUGAACUACCAGUGCUCUGUGAUACAUUUUCAACGAGUCGAGUUGUUUGGGAAUGCAGCUCAAAAUGGGUGGUAAAUUCCAUCUAAAGCUAAAUAUUGGCGAGAGACCGAUAGCGAACAAGUACCGUGAGGGAAAGAUGAAAAGCACUUUGGAAAGAGAGUUAAACAGUAUGUGAAAUUGUUGAAAGGGAAACGAUUGAAGUCAGUCGUGCUCUUUGGAUUCAGCCGGUUCUGCCGGUGUACUUCCUUUGAGUGGGGUCAACAUCAGUUUUGAUCGCUGGAUAAAGGCUGGAGGAACGUAGUACCCUCGGGUAAACUUAUAGCCUCCUGUCACAUACAGUGGUUGGGACUGAGGAACGCAGCACGCCUUUAUGGCCGGGAUUCGUCCACGUACGUGCUUAGGAUGUUGACAUAAUGGCUUUAAACGACCCGUCUUGAAACACGGGACCA